RNAcentral lists this ribosomal RNA (466 nucleotides) under uncultured bacterium. RNAcentral describes it as "partial 16S ribosomal RNA". It matches the Rfam family "Bacterial small subunit ribosomal RNA", at positions 339 to 795 of the family's 1533-position model. The record is from RNAcentral.
CUACGGGUGGCACCAGUGGGGAAUAUUGGACAAUGGGGGAAACCCUGAUCCAGCAAUGCCGCGUGUGUGAAGAAGGCCUGCGGGUUGUAAAGCACUUUCGGUUGGGAGGACUGCUUCUAGCACUAAUAUUGUUGGAAGUUGACGUUACCUUCAGAAGAAGCACCGGCUAACUCCGUGCCAGCAGCCGCGGUAAUACGGGGGGUGCAAGCGUUAAUCGGAAUUACUGGGCGUAAAGCGCGCGGUAGGCGGCUAGAUCAGUCGGGUGUGAAAGCCCCGGGCGUAACCUGGGAACUGCAUCCGAUACUGUCGAGCUUGAGUACAGGAGAGGAGAGUGGAAUUCCACAUGUAGCGGUGAAAUGCGUAGAUAUGUGGAGGAACACCAAUGGCGAAGGCAGCUCUCUGGCCUGAUACUGACGCUGAGGUGCGAAAGCGUGGGGAGCAAACAGGAUUAGAUACCCCUGUAGUC